RNAcentral lists this ribosomal RNA (442 nucleotides) under uncultured bacterium. RNAcentral's name for it is "partial 16S ribosomal RNA". It matches the Rfam family "Bacterial small subunit ribosomal RNA", at positions 338 to 795 of the family's 1533-position model. The record is from RNAcentral.
CCUACGGGUGGCAGCAGUGGGGAAUAUUGGGCAAUUGGCGAAAGCCUGACCCAGCAACGCCGCGUGAAGGAAGAAGGCUUUCGGGUUGUAAACUUCUUUUGACAGGGAAGAGCAGAAUACGGUACCUGUCGAAUAAGCCACGGCUAACGACGUGCCAGCAGCCGCGGUAAUACGGAGGUGGGAAGCGUUUUCCGGAUUUACUUGGUGGAAAGGGCGUGUAGGCGGGCUGACAAGUCAGAUGUGAAAUCCCGGGGCUCAACCCCCGAACUGCAUUUGAAACUGUUGGUCUUGAGUGUCGGAGAGGCAAGCGGAAUUCCGGGUGUAGCGGUGGAAUGCGGAGAUAUGAGGAGGAACACCAGUGGCGAAGGCGACCUGCUGGACGACAACUGACGGUGAGGCGCGAAAGCGUGGGGAGCAAACAGGAUUAGAUACCCUAGUAGUC